GGGUCAGUAGGUUGGUCGUGCCACCGGUACGUACUGGUCUCACUGAUUCCUCCUUCCUGAAGAACCGUAAUGCCAUUAAUUUGGUGUUGCGGGGAAACAGGACUGUUACUUUGAAAAAAUUAGAGUGUUUAAAGCAAGCCAACGCUUGAAUACAUUAGCAUGGAAUAAUGGAAUAGGACGAUCGAUCCUAUUUUGUUGGUUUCUAGGAUUGACGUA
This 216-nucleotide ribosomal RNA is filed under the name Glomeromycotina sp. Its description in RNAcentral is "partial small subunit ribosomal RNA". The stretch from base 40 to 216 matches the Rfam family "Eukaryotic small subunit ribosomal RNA", at positions 686 to 864 of the family's 1831-position model. Lineage: Eukaryota; Fungi; Glomeromycota. The record is from RNAcentral.